AUGCCGCUGCCGCUGCACCCCUGCUGCGCCGCCGUCGUCGCGGCGACGCCCGCCAUGGCCACCACCGCCGGCAGCGGCGGCACCAUCUCGCCGUCCACUGCCGCCGCCCCGCCGCCCCGGUACCUCGGCUCCGGCCAGGGCCGGCUCCGCCUCGCGCCGGCAGCCAGCCGGCGUAACAGGCCGCUCCUCCGCUGCUCCGCGUCCGGCGGCGACGGGCCCGACAAGGUUCUUGAGAAGCGCCGGGCCGAGCUCGCCGCCCGCAUUUCCUCCGGCGAGUUCACCGCCCAGGGCCCCGGAUGGCUCGCGCCCGUCGCGGCAAGGCUCGCCAAGCUCGGCCCGCCGGGGGAGCUCGCGGCCGGGCUGCUCACCAAGGUAGCGGGCGGCGCGGCGCGCAGGGGCCCGGGGCUGCCGCAGGCGGUCGGGUCGCUGGCUUCCGUCGCCGGGGAGGCCUUCUUCCUGCCGCUCUACGACCUCUUCCUCACCUACGGCGGCGUCUUCCGCCUCAACUUUGGGCCCAAGUCUUUCCUCAUCGUCUCUGAUCCGGAUGUAGCUAAGCAUAUCCUGAGGGACAACUCCAAGGCUUAUUCCAAGGGUAUCCUUGCGGAGAUACUGGAGUUUGUGAUGGGCACAGGUCUGAUCCCAGCUGAUGGGGAGGUCUGGCGUGUUCGACGGCGUGCCAUUGUACCAGCAUUGCAUCAGAAGUACGUGACAGCGAUGAUAGGUCUCUUCGGAAACGCUUCAGGCCGGCUCUGCCAGAAGCUGGACAAGGCGGCUUCGGACGGGGAAGAUGUGGAGAUGGAAUCUCUCUUCUCUCGACUAACGCUGGAUGUCAUCGGGAAGGCAGUGUUCAAUUAUGAUUUUGAUUCAUUAUCCUACGAUAAUGGAAUAGUUGAGGCUGUGUAUGUAACAUUACGGGAAGCAGAAAUGCGGAGUACAUCUCCUAUCCCAACUUGGGAAAUACCCAUAUGGAAAGACAUCUCCCCUCGGCAAAGGAAGGUCAAUGAAGCUCUCGCACUGAUAAAUAAUAUUCUCGAUGAACUAAUUGCUACUUGCAAGAGGAUGGUAGAUGAAGAAGAUCUGCAGUUUCAUGAGGAAUACAUGAAUGAGAAAGAUCCUAGUAUUCUUCACUUCCUAUUGGCAUCUGGAGAUGAUGUGUCCAGCAAGCAGCUCCGUGACGAUCUGAUGACAAUGCUCAUAGCUGGCCAUGAGACCUCUGCAGCAGUCUUGACUUGGACAUUUUAUCUUCUGUCUAAGUAUCCGAAUGUAAUGUCCAAGCUCCAAGCUGAGGCUGAUGCUGUUCUAGGAGAUGGUUUACCAACAAUUGAUGAUGUGAAGAAACUUAAGUAUACUACUCGAGUUAUUAAUGAAUCUUUGAGAUUAUAUCCACAGCCGCCAGUUUUGAUUCGCCGUUCCCUUGAGGAUGAUAUGCUAGGGGAGUACCCAAUCGGCAAGGGAGAAGACAUUUUUAUAUCCAUCUGGAACCUUCAUCGCUGCCCAAAGCAUUGGGAUGACGCGGAUGUUUUCAAUCCAGAAAGGUGGCCUUUGGACGGACCGAACCCAAAUGAGACAAACCAAAAAUUCAGUUACUUGCCAUUUGGUGGCGGACCAAGGAAAUGUGUAGGUGAUAUGUUUGCUACUUUUGAGACUGUGGUGGCAACAGCAAUGCUUGUCAAGCGAUUUGAUUUUCAGAUGGCUCCAGGAGCACCUCCGGUCGAGAUGACAACCGGAGCAACGAUUCACACAACUAAGGGACUGAACAUGACUGUUACUCGGAGGAUAAAGCCACCUGUAAUUCCAAACUUAGAGAUGAAAAUUGUUUCCGAUUCAGAAGGAAGCACAAGUUCUACUGCGUCAGUGGCUGUUUCUACUGCUAGUAUUACAUCCGGAGAAGGUCAACAAGUAGAGGUGUCGACAAGUCAAGUGUGA
RNAcentral lists this ribosomal RNA (1926 nucleotides) under Triticum aestivum (bread wheat). Its description in RNAcentral is "partial small subunit ribosomal RNA". The record is from RNAcentral. Lineage: Eukaryota; Viridiplantae; Streptophyta; Magnoliopsida; Poales; Poaceae.